RNAcentral lists this ribosomal RNA (429 nucleotides) under bacterium. RNAcentral's name for it is "partial 16S ribosomal RNA". It matches the Rfam family "Bacterial small subunit ribosomal RNA", at positions 355 to 776 of the family's 1533-position model. The record is from RNAcentral.
UAGGGAAUCUUCCACAAUGGACGCAAGUCUGAUGGAGCAACGCCGCGUGAGUGAAGAAGGUUUUCGGAUCGUAAAGCUCUGUUGUUGGUGAAGAAGGAUAGAGGUAGUAACUGGCCUUUAUUCGACGGUAAUCAACCAGAAAGUCACGGCUAACUACGUGCCAGCAGCCGCAGUAAUACGUAGGUGGCAAGCGUUGUCCGGAUUUAUUGGGCGUAAAGCGAGCGCAGGCGGAAGAAUAAGUCUGAUGUGAAAGCCCUCGGCUUAACCGAGGAACUGCAUCGGAAACUGUUUUUCUUGAGUGCAGAAGAGGAGAGUGGAAUUCCAUGUGUAGCGGUGGAAUGCGUAGAUAUAUGGAAGAACACCAGUGGCGAAGGCGACUCUCUGGUCUGCAACUGACGCUGAGGCUCGAAAGCAUGGGUAGCGAACAGG